GCGGAAGUGGCGGAAUUGGUAGACGCACCAGAUUUAGGUUCUGGCGCUGUGAGGUGUGAGAGUUCAAAUCUCUCCUUCCGCA
Molecule: transfer RNA, 82 nt
Filed under: Candidatus Photodesmus blepharonis
Lineage: Bacteria; Pseudomonadati; Pseudomonadota; Gammaproteobacteria; Vibrionales; Vibrionaceae
Description: Candidatus Photodesmus blepharus tRNA
Rfam family: tRNA
About the family: Transfer RNA (tRNA) molecules are approximately 80 nucleotides in length. Their secondary structure includes four short double-helical elements and three loops (D, anti-codon, and T loops).
Source: Rfam by way of RNAcentral